RNAcentral lists this RNase P RNA (394 nucleotides) under Bacillus sp. FJAT-50079. RNAcentral's name for it is "Bacterial RNase P class B". It matches the Rfam family "Bacterial RNase P class B". From Rfam's summary of the family: Ribonuclease P (RNase P) is a ubiquitous endoribonuclease, found in archaea, bacteria and eukarya as well as chloroplasts and mitochondria. Its best characterised activity is the generation of mature 5'-ends of tRNAs by cleaving the 5'-leader elements of precursor-tRNAs. Cellular RNase Ps are ribonucleoproteins. The record is from Rfam by way of RNAcentral. Lineage: Bacteria; Bacillati; Bacillota; Bacilli; Caryophanales; Bacillaceae.
ACAUUCGGGUAAUCGCUGCCGCAUCAUGCGGUAGAGGAAAGUCCAUGCUCGCACAGUGCUGUGAUGCCUGUAGUGUUCAUGCCUGACGAAACAAUAAGUCAGGGCAGCUCGGUAUAAACGGGGCUGACGGCAGGGAAAACACCUACGUCUUCUUGAUAUGGUGUGACUACCUUGAAAGUGCCACAGUGACGGAGCUUUGUUGGAAACAGCAAAGGUGGAACGAGGUAAACCCCAUGAGCGAGCAACUCAAAAUUUGGUAGAGGCACUCUUUCUGAGGAAACGAACGAGGAAAGAGGCAAGAUAUGAUGAUCUUGCAGAUAGAUGAUUACCGCCGGAGUACGAGGUCCACCUUUGACCGCUUGCAGUACAAAGGUACAGAACAUGGCUUACAUGA